GCCCAGACUCCUACGGGAGGCAGCAGUGGGGAAUAUUGGGCAAUGGGCGCAAGCCUGACCCAGCAACGCCGCGUGAAGGAAGAAGGCUUUCGGGUUGUAAACUUCUUUUAAGAGGGAAGAGUAGAAGACGGUACCUCUUGAAUAAGCCACGGCUAACUACGUGCCAGCAGCCGCGGUAAUACGUAGGUGGCAAGCGUUGUCCGGAUUUACUGGGUGUAAAGGGCGUGUAACCGGGCCGGCAAGUCAGAUGUGAAAUCCCAAGGCUCAACCUUGGAACUGCAUUUGAAACUGUUGGUCUUGAGUAUCGGAGAGGCAGGCGGAAUUCCUGGUGUAGCGGUGAAAUGCGUAGAUAUCAGGAGGAACACCGGCGGCGAAGGCGGCCUGCUGGACCGUGACUGACGUUGAGGCUCGAGAGCGUGGGGAGCAAACAGGAUUAGAUACCCGGGUA
RNAcentral lists this ribosomal RNA (448 nucleotides) under uncultured bacterium. RNAcentral describes it as "bacterial SSU rRNA". It matches the Rfam family "Bacterial small subunit ribosomal RNA", at positions 329 to 792 of the family's 1533-position model. The record is from RNAcentral.